This 254-nucleotide ribosomal RNA is filed under the name uncultured bacterium. RNAcentral's name for it is "partial 16S ribosomal RNA". It matches the Rfam family "Bacterial small subunit ribosomal RNA", at positions 524 to 776 of the family's 1533-position model. The record is from RNAcentral.
UACGUAGGGCGCGAGCGUUGUCCGGAUUUAUUGGGCGUAAAGAGCUCGUAGGCGGCUUGUCGCGUCGUCUGUGAAAUCCCGCGGCUCAACCGCGGGUCUGCAGUCGAUACGGGCAGGCUAGAGUUCGGUAGGGGAGACUGGAAUUCCUGGUGUAGCGGUGAAAUGCGCAGAUAUCAGGAGGAACACCGGUGGCGAAGGCGGGUCUCUGGGCCGAUACUGACGCUGAGGAGCGAAAGCGUGGGGGAGCGAACAGG